GACUUGCCCGACCGCCAUUCUAUUCUACCAUAUUGAGAGUAUGAACAGUUUUUUUAAAUUGUCAAUAUAAUGAAAUGAUAGGAUUCGAUCAGAAGGAUCUUUUCAUCUUUCAUAAUUCCAUAGAAUUUUUUUUAUUCAUUGUUAAAAUUCGGUCGAUAUAUUUCUAUUUCACACUAAACUAAACCACGAAAUAAAAAACGAUAAUCAAUCUGGGAAUCGGGAUAAGAAGGAUAGGGAUCAACAAGUUAUUGAAAAUUGUUUUUUUUUUUUCAAUAAGAAUUUGGUUGAGGGGCAGGACAAAUUGAAUCCAUUUCGAUGAAAUAUUUGAAUUGGUGGGGAUAUGUAGUAUGUAUUAAUCAAAUGAAUUUCGUUAUGAUCAGUACUUAAAUUUAAAUCGGUUUUGAAAAAAUAAAUUACAUUGAUAUUUAUCAAAUCCAAUAUCAAUAAACCAUUUUCUUAAGUAUACUCUAUUUACACGGUAAAUCCAAUUUUUUGUUCCUUAAUGAGUCGCUAUGCGGAUAAAUCUAUGUACAUAUAUUUGAAUCUUAUCUAUAUAAGAAGUAUAUGUAGUAACAAAUAUAUGUACUAGACUCAUAUUGUCUAGUUCCUUAUUCAGGAAUUUAAUCGAACGGGGCCCCUUUAACUCAGCGGUAGAGUAACGCCAUGGUAAGGCGUAAGUCAUCGGUUCAAAUCUGAUAAGGGGCUU
This is a non-coding RNA of Lupinus albus (white lupine), 706 nucleotides long. NCBI's taxonomy places the organism in Eukaryota, Viridiplantae, Streptophyta, Magnoliopsida, Fabales, Fabaceae. The record is from the annotation of a GenBank genome assembly.